This 389-nucleotide ribosomal RNA is filed under the name uncultured bacterium. RNAcentral's name for it is "bacterial SSU rRNA". It matches the Rfam family "Bacterial small subunit ribosomal RNA", at positions 505 to 893 of the family's 1533-position model. The record is from RNAcentral.
GUGCCAGCCGCUGCGGUAAUACGUAGGGUGCGAGCGUUGUCCGGAAUUAUUGGGCGUAAAGAGCUCGUAGGCGGCUUGUCGCGUCGGAUGUGAAAGCCCGGGGCUUAACUCCGGGUCUGCAUUCGAUACGGGCAGGCUAGAGUUCGGUAGGGGAGAUCGGAAUUCCUGGGUGUAGCGGUGAAAUGCGCAGAUAUCAGGAGGAACACCGGUGGCGAAGGCGGAUCUCUGGGCCGAUACUGACGCUGAGGAGCGAAAGCGUGGGGAGCGAACAGGAUUAGAUACCCUGGUAGUCCACGCCGUAACGUUGGAACUAGGUGUGGCGACAUUCCACGUUGUCCGUGCCGCAGCUAACGCAUUAACGUUCCCCGCCUGGGAGUACGGCCGCAAGG